GUGGACAGCAACCAGACGGGGUGACUGCGACCGAAUGAGACAGUGCCUUCCACGAACCCACGAAGGAAAACACAACCAGUGGAUAAGGGGUGACUGCGACCGAAUGAGACAGUGCCUUCCACGAACCCACGAAGGAAAACACAAC
Molecule: long non-coding RNA, 145 nt
Organism: Carassius auratus (goldfish)
Lineage: Eukaryota; Metazoa; Chordata; Actinopteri; Cypriniformes; Cyprinidae
Exons: 3
Source: RefSeq, a predicted model, not a curated record